RNAcentral lists this ribosomal RNA (497 nucleotides) under uncultured bacterium. RNAcentral's name for it is "partial 16S ribosomal RNA". It matches the Rfam family "Bacterial small subunit ribosomal RNA", at positions 28 to 507 of the family's 1533-position model. The record is from RNAcentral.
GACGAACGCUGGCGGCGUGCCUAAUACAUGCAAGUUGAGCGAUGAAGAUUGGUGCUUGCACCAAUUUGAAGAGCAGCGAACGGGUGAGUAACGCGUGGGGAAUCUGCCUUUGAGCGGGGGACAACAUUUGGAAACGAAUGCUAAUACCGCAUAACAACUUUAAACAUAAGUUUUAAGUUUGAAAGAUGCAAUUGCAUCACUCAAAGAUGAUCCCGCGUUGUAUUAGCUAGUUGGUGAGGUAAAGGCUCACCAAGGCGAUGAUACAUAGCCGACCUGAGAGGGUGAUCGGCCACAUUGGGACUGAGACACGGCCCAAACUCCUACGGGAGGCAGCAGUAGGGAAUCUUCGGCAAUGGACGAAAGUCUGACCGAGCAACGCCGCGGGAGUGAAGAAGGUUUUCGGAUCGUAAAACUCUGUUGGUAGAGAAGAACGUUGGUGAGAGUGGAAAGCUCAUCAAGUGACGGUAACUACCCAGAAAGGGGCGGCUAACUACGUG